GUGAGGAAUAUUGCGCAAUGGAGGCAACUCUGACGCAGCCAUGCCGUGUGCAGGAAGAAGGCGCUACGCGUUGUAAACUGCUUUUAACCGGGAAGAAACCCCAGGACGUGUCCUGGGUUGACGGUACCGGAGGAAUAAGCACCGGCUAACUUCGUGCCAGCAGCCGCGGUAAUACGAAGGGUGCAAGCGUUAUCCGGAUUUAUUGGGUUUAAAGGGUGCGUAGGCGGAGCGUUAAGUCAGUGGUGAAAUCCUGCAGCUUAACUGUAGACUUGCCAUUGAUACUGGCGCUCUUGAGUGCGCUUGAAGUGGGCGGAAUGUGCCGUGUAGCGGUGAAAUGCUUAGAUAUGGCACAGAACACCAAUUGCGAAGGCAGCUCACUAAGGCGAUACUGACGCUGAGGCACGAAAGCGUGGGGAUCGAACAGGAUUAGAAACCCUAGUAGUCC
This 445-nucleotide ribosomal RNA is filed under the name uncultured bacterium. RNAcentral describes it as "partial 16S ribosomal RNA". It matches the Rfam family "Bacterial small subunit ribosomal RNA", at positions 354 to 796 of the family's 1533-position model. The record is from RNAcentral.